ACUCCUACGGGAGGCAGCAGUGAGGAAUAUUGGUCAAUGGCCGUAAGGCUGAACCAGCCAAGUAGCGUGCAGGAUGACGGCCCUAUGGGUUGUAAACUGCUUUUAAACGGGGAUAAAGUGAGCCACGUGUGGUUUAUUGCAGGUACCGUUUGAAUAAGGACCGGCUAAUUCCGUGCCAGCAGCCGCGGUAAU
Molecule: ribosomal RNA, 192 nt
Filed under: uncultured bacterium
Lineage: Bacteria
Description: partial 16S ribosomal RNA
Rfam family: Bacterial small subunit ribosomal RNA
Source: RNAcentral